AGCUCCAAUAGCGUAUAUUAAAGUUGCUGCAGUUAAAAAGCUCGUAGUUGCAUUUCCGAGGCAAGGGAUUAGUCCGACCUUUGGUGGGUAUUUAAUCCUCUUGCCUCGUCCUUGAGUGGUGCUUCUUGGUAUUAAGUUAUCGAGGAGAUAGCCGCUCAUCGUUUACUGUGAGAAAAUUAGAGUGUUCAAAGCAGGCUUAUGCCGUUGAAUAUAUUAGCAUGGAAUAAUAAGAUAGGACCUCGGUACUAUUUUGUUGGUUUGAGAACCAAGGUAAUGAUGAAUAGGGACAGUUGGGGGUAUUCGUAUUCAGUUGUCAGAGGUGAAAUUCUUGGAUUUAUGGAAGACGAACUACUGCGAAAGCAUUUACCAAGGAUGUUUUCA
Molecule: ribosomal RNA, 381 nt
Filed under: uncultured marine Chaetocerotaceae
Lineage: Eukaryota; Bacillariophyta; Thalassiosirophyceae; Chaetocerotales; Chaetocerotaceae
Description: SSU rRNA
Rfam family: Eukaryotic small subunit ribosomal RNA
Source: RNAcentral